CCUACGGGUGGCUGCAGUGGGGGAUAUUGCACAAUGGGGGAAACCCUGAUGCAGCGACGCCGCGUGUGGGAAGACGGUCCUCUGGAUUGUAAACCACUGUCCCCAGGGACGACGAUGACGGUACCUGGGGAGGACGCUCCGGCUAACUACGUGCCAGCAGCCGCGGUAAUACGUAGGGAGCGAGCGUGGUCCGGAAUUACUGGGUGUAAAGGGAGCGUAGGCGGGGAUGGAAGUUGGGUGUCAAAACUACCGGCUCAACUGGUAGUCGCACUCAAAACUGCAGCUCUUGAGUGAAGUAGAGGCAGGCAGAAUUCCUAGUGUAGCGGUGAAAUGCGUAGAUAUUAGGAGGAACACCAGUGGCGAAGGCGGCCUGCUGGGCUUUUACUGACGCUGAGGCUCGAAAGUGUGGGGAGCAAACAGGAUUAGAUACCCUUGUAGUC
This 440-nucleotide ribosomal RNA is filed under the name uncultured bacterium. RNAcentral's name for it is "partial 16S ribosomal RNA". It matches the Rfam family "Bacterial small subunit ribosomal RNA", at positions 338 to 795 of the family's 1533-position model. The record is from RNAcentral.